RNAcentral lists this ribosomal RNA (1440 nucleotides) under uncultured organism. Its description in RNAcentral is "16S ribosomal RNA". It matches the Rfam family "Bacterial small subunit ribosomal RNA". The record is from RNAcentral.
CAGGCUUAACACAUGCAAGUCGAGGGGCAUCAGGAAGAAAGCUUGCUUUCUUUGCUGGCGACCGGCGCACGGGUGAGUAACACGUAUCCAACCUGCCCUUUACUCGGGGAUAGCCUUUCGAAAGAAAGAUUAAUACCCGAUAGCAUAAUGAUUCCGCAUGGUUUCAUUAUUAAAGGAUUCCGGUAAAGGAUGGGGAUGCGUUCCAUUAGGUUGUUGGUGAGGUAACGGCUCACCAAGCCUUCGAUGGAUAGGGGUUCUGAGAGGAAGGUCCCCCACAUUGGAACUGAGACACGGUCCAAACUCCUACGGGAGGCAGCAGUGAGGAAUAUUGGUCAAUGGGCGGUAGCCUGAACCAGCCAAGUAGCGUGAAGGAUGAAGGCUCUAUGGGUCGUAAACUUCUUUUAUAUAAGAAUAAAGUGCAGUAUGUAUACUGUUUUGUAUGUAUUAUAUGAAUAAGGAUCGGCUAACUCCGUGCCAGCAGCCGCGGUAAUACGGAGGAUCCGAGCGUUAUCCGGAUUUAUUGGGUUUAAAGGGAGCGUAGGUGGACUGGUAAGUCAGUUGUGAAAGUUUGCGGCUCAACCGUAAAAUUGCAGUUGAUACUGUCAGUCUUGAGUACAGUAGAGGUGGGCGGAAUUCGUGGUGUAGCGGUGAAAUGCUUAGAUAUCACGAAGAACUCCGAUUGCGAAGGCAGCUCACUGGACUGCAACUGACACUGAUGCUCGAAAGUGUGGGUAUCAAACAGGAUUAGAUACCCUGGUAGUCCACACAGUAAACGAUGAAUACUCGCUGUUUGCGAUAUACAGUAAGCGGCCAAGCGAAAGCAUUAAGUAUUCCACCUGGGGAGUACGCCGGCAACGGUGAAACUCAAAGGAAUUGACGGGGGCCCGCACAAGCGGAGGAACAUGUGGUUUAAUUCGAUGAUACGCGAGGAACCUUACCCGGGCUUAAAUCGCAGUGGAAUGAUGUGGAAACAUGUCAGUGAGCAAUCACCGCUGUGAAGGUGCUGCAUGGUUGUCGUCAGCUCGUGCCGUGAGGUGUCGGCUUAAGUGCCAUAACGAGCGCAACCCUUAUCUUUAGUUACUAACAGGUCAUGCUGAGGACUCUAGAGAGACUGCCGUCGUAAGAUGUGAGGAAGGUGGGGAUGACGUCAAAUCAGCACGGCCCUUACGUCCGGGGCUACACACGUGUUACAAUGGGGGGUACAGAAGGCAGCUAGCGGGUGACCGUAUGCUAAUCCCAAAAGCCUCUCUCAGUUCGGAUCGAAGUCUGCAACCCGACUUCGUGAAGCUGGAUUCGCUAGUAAUCGCGCAUCAGCCACGGCGCGGUGAAUACGUUCCCGGGCCUUGUACACACCGCCCGUCAAGCCAUGGGAGCCGGGGGUACCUGAAGUGCGUAACCGCAAGGAUCGUCCUAGGGUAAAACUGGUGACUGGGGCUAAGU